This 284-nucleotide long non-coding RNA is filed under the name Salvia miltiorrhiza (redroot sage). RNAcentral describes it as "long non-coding RNA (SMIL_LNC011199)". Lineage: Eukaryota; Viridiplantae; Streptophyta; Magnoliopsida; Lamiales; Lamiaceae. The record is from RNAcentral.
GACAAACAUGGUUUUCGUACCUCAAUUCCACAUGAUAUGUUGUCAUUUUCCUUCAUGUUUUGUUUGCCAAUGCGUGUUUGUACCAUAAUGUUGAGUUUUAUGAAGAUUUGAUGUCUUGGUGUAGUUUUGGAGUAAUUUCAGGAAAAAUCAAGGAUUAAUUGGAGGAUUUUGAAGAUAUGAGAUUGAAGUACGUCUCGAGAGGAAUCCGUGAGCGCAAACGGCGACCAAAUCUGAGUCCGGACGAGGGAGAACGGAGCAAAACGAGCGGACUGUGCAAAACGCCC